AUGAACGCUGGCGGCGUGCCUAAUACAUGCAAGUCGAGCGAACAGACGAGGAGCUUGCUCCUCUGACGUUAGCGGCGGACGGGUGAGUAACACGUGGAUAACCUACCUAUAAGACUGGGAUAACUUCGGGAAACCGGAGCUAAUACCGGAUAAUAUAUUGAACCGCAUGGUUCAAUAGUGAAAGACGGUUUUGCUGUCACUUAUAGAUGGAUCCGCGCCGUAUUAGCUAGUUGGUAAGGUAACGGCUUACCAAGGCAACGAUGCGUAGCCGACCUGAGAGGGUGAUCGGCCACACUGGAACUGAGACACGGUCCAGACUCCUACGGGAGGCAGCAGUAGGGAAUCUUCCGCAAUGGGCGAAAGCUUGACGGAGCAACGCCGCGUGAGUGAUGAAGGUCUUCGGAUCGUAAAACUCUGUUAUUAGGGAAGAACAAAUGUGUAAGUAACUAUGCACGUCUUGACGGUACCUAAUCAGAAAGCCACGGCUAACUACGUG
RNAcentral lists this ribosomal RNA (496 nucleotides) under uncultured bacterium. RNAcentral describes it as "partial 16S ribosomal RNA". It matches the Rfam family "Bacterial small subunit ribosomal RNA", at positions 29 to 507 of the family's 1533-position model. The record is from RNAcentral.